GGACAAAAAGUCUGCCCUGUAACGGUACUUCUUGCUCAGUGAAAGCAGCAACCCCACCUCCUCAUCCCUUUCAUUGGCUUAUAAACCCGUCCUUUAAACCACUAUUUGGGAGGUCGGGCCAUCAGUUUCGGCGUUUUUUCCAGAGAGGCAGGCUCACAGCGAUAUCGCGAGAGACGGGAAUUGCUCUGUCACGCAGGCUGGAGUGCAGUGGUGCCAUCUCGGCUCACUGUGACCUCUGCCUCCCGGGCUCAAGCCAUCCUCCCACCUCAGCCCUCCAAGUAGCUGGGAUUACAGGUCACCAUCUUCUCACUUGCCUCUGACUUUUCCCACAGGGGAGAGCUGGUCAAAUAGUACAGUUCCCCGAGGUGAAUGGGGAGAAGCUGGGCAAAGGAAGAAUGAUCUUCAGGCAGUAAGGGCCCCUACUCCAGUAUGAUUGGUGUCCUUAUAAAAAGGACAAAUUGGACACAGACACCCUACCAAGAAGAACACUAUGUGAAGAUGAAGGCAGAGGUCAGGGUGAUGCCUCUACUUGCUGAGAAACUCCUACAGUUGCCAGCCCACCACUAGAAGCAAAGGAAGAGGCACAGCCCUCAGAAGGAACCAACCCUGCUAAUGCCUUGGUCUUGGACUUGCAGCCUCCAGAACAGCGAGCCAAUACAUUCCUGUGGUUUAAGCCACUGACUGUGGCACUUUAUUACAGCAGCACUAGGAAACUCAUACAGGAGGUGACAGUGCUCAGAUGGAACAGGACCUUCCACUUCCAUGGCAAAGCCCUCAUCUUUCGUGCCCAUGUGCCAUUUGAUCUGCACACAAAUCACUGAGCAGGUUCCUCAGCUAUUAUUAUCUCCACCUUUCAGAUGGAAAGAACUGAAGCUCAAGAGGGCCAAAGAAAUUUGGCUAUGGCUUUAUUUAUUUAUUUAUUUUUCAUGGGCAGAAGUAGAUUUCAGUUUUGGUCUCUUUCCACUACCAUAUCAGGUUGCCUUAAGGCAACUUUGAAAAGUCUAAAAUAUCAAACAGUUUGUGAAGUUAUUAUCAUUAUUCAUAAAGGACAGCGCGAGGUUAGUCUUACCCUAGAGAGCCCCAUUGUUGGCCCAAAGCAUCUUGCCAGGAGUCCUAUAGGACCAUGUUUUCAAGGCCCCCAAAGAGCACAGGGCUGUUGGUCCAUCCCAGCUCCUGGAAUGGCUCAUUGUACCCACCCUGCCUCCAGCUGAGGACCCAGGGAGAAGCACUGACCCCUGAUCUUGCUAUCCCUUCCAUUACACUCUUGCCAGAGGAGCUUUUUUCAGGGGUGGCCACUUCCCUCUCCUCAAGAGAAUUCUGGGGACCAACCAGCUCAGGCCUGCUGUUGGCCUCAGGGUCACAUCUUACCCAGACACCCCCACCAUUCCCUCAGGUCUAGGGAUGCUGCUCCCCCACCGCGGGAUCUUCUUUUUAUUUUUAUUUAUUUAUGUUUUACUCAUGCCUAACACAGUGUAAAGGGAUUUCUUUUCUUUUCUUUUCUUUUUUUUUUGAGAUGGAGUCUCGCUCUGUCACCCAGGCUGGAGUGCAGUGCAGUGGCGCUAUCUCGGCUCACUGCAACCUUCACCUCCUGGGUUCAAGUGAUUCUCCUGCCUCAGCCUCCCAGUAGCUGGGAUUACAGGUGCGCCACCACAUUUGGCUAAUUUUUUUACUUUUAGUAGAGAUGGGGUUUCACCGUGUUGGCCAGGCUAGUCUCGAUCUCCUGACCUCAGGUGAUCCACCUGCCUUGGCCUCCCAGAAUGCUGAGAUUACAGGCAUGAGCCACCGCUCCCAGCCAGGAUCUUCUUUUUAAAGCUACCACCACCCACUCUCAUUCCCCAGGACUCUCCUCACCCCUCUGGCUGCAAAGGGAGCUGGUGUCCCUACUGGCUCCUUCCUUUCUGCCCCUAAAGACAGGCACACAGGUGAUUUUCCUUUUAAGUGUUUUUCUGUGGAUCACUGCGGGGAAAUCGAGAGGGGCUGAUAAAAGGAAUAAUCUUUGAUAGUCUUUCAGUUGGGUUGCUGAUUUUCUUGCUGGACUGACAAGAACAAUCUUCCCUACUUGGAAUCUUGGUUUUAUUCCUUAGCAUGGGCCUUAUCAAACCCACUUUUUAAUGAAGGGAGAAUGAAGAAGCCAUCGAAGCAGACCUCUAGCUGCCAGUCAGGUCUGCUCUGAAGGUUGCCUAUCUGUGGGGGCAUGUGACUUCUGGGGCUUUCCAGAUUGAGUAAUGCUUACCCCACAUGUCUGAAAUUCUCCAAACACUAUUCCGGCCCUGCUGUGAUUCUUAGAGCAGAGGUUCUUUGCCUUUUUAGUGUAAUGGAUCCCUCAGCAACUUGGUGAGCCCUUCUCAGAAUAAAGUUUCUAAUGCAGAAAGUAAAACACAUGGGAUAAUAAGGGAAGUCAAGUCCUUUGAAAUCCUUAUCAAAAAUGUUUUUCAAAUUUUGUGAUAUAAUAAGUUUGGUUACUAUUAUAUUAUAUAGUAUAAUAUAACUUCAUAUCUAAUAGCUAUUGUUAUUUUGAAGUAGUGGUGAAUAUAUAUGCUACUUUGAGAUAUCUCAAACAACUGUAACUUGUUACAAAAAUAUCCAUGAUUUCUAUUGGUGACAAAGUCAAAA
RNAcentral lists this non-coding RNA (2613 nucleotides) under Pongo abelii (Sumatran orangutan). Lineage: Eukaryota; Metazoa; Chordata; Mammalia; Primates; Hominidae. The record is from RNAcentral.